GGGCAUGCAAGUCCAGGGGAGCUUUCGCUCACCGGCAAACUGCUCAGUAACACGUCGAUAAUCUGCCCUUAGGUUCAGAAUAACCUCGGGAAACUGAGGGUAACACUGAAUAGAGGAUUUCUACUGUAAUGUGUUUUCCUUUAAAGAUUACGCCUAAGGAUGAGUUGGCGGCGGAUUAGCUUGUUGGUGGGGUAACGGCCCACCAAGGCGAUGAUCCGUAGGGGCCUUGGAAGAGGUAGCCCCGAGAAGGACACUGAGAUACUGGUCCUAGCCCUACGGGGUGCAGCAGCUACGAAACCUUUACACUACACGAAAGUGUGAUAAGGGGAUCCCAAGUGCUUAUACACUGUAUAAGCUUUUUCUAAGAGUAAAGACCUUAGAGAAUAAGUGGUGGGAAAGACUGGUGCCAGCAGCCGCGGUAAUACCAGCGCCACAAGUGGGGGCCAUGAUUAUUGGGUCUAAAGCGUUCGUAGCAGGUCAAUUAAAUCUCUUGUGAAAUCGUUGGGCUUAACCUAACGGCGUGCAGGAGAGACUGGUUGACUUGAGACCGGGAGGGGUUAGAGGUAUUUCUGGGGGAGCGGUAAAAUGCUAUAAUCCCAGGAGGACCACCUGUGGCGAAGGCGUCUAACCAGAACGGGUCUGACUGUGAGGAACGAAAGCUAGGGGAGCAAACCGGAUUAGAUACCCGAGUAGUCCUAGCCGUAAACGCUGUGAGCAAGGUGUUGCACAUUCUACGGAAUGUGCAGUGUCGAAACGAAGGUGUUAAGCUCACCACCUGGGAAGUACGGUCGCAAGAUUGAAACUUAAAGGAAUUGGCGGGGGAGCACUACAAGGGGUGCGGCGUGCGGUUUAAUUGAACUCAACGCCGGAAAUCUCACCAGGAGCGACGGCAGAAUGAAGGUCAGUCUAGAGGGCUUACCUAACAAGCCGAGAGGUGGUGCAUGGCCGUCGUCAGCUCGUGCCGUAAGGUGUCCUGUUAAGUCAGGCAACGAGCGAGACCUGCAUCUACAAUUGCUAACAGCUCUUUUAGAGGACUGAGCACUUUGUAGAGACUGCCUAGGAAACUAGGAGGAAGGUGCAGGCUACGGUAGGUCUGUAUGCCCCGAAUCCCCUGGGCUACACGCGCGCAACAAUGGUAUGGACAAUGGGCUGCAACUCCGAAAGGAGAAGCUAAUCCUCGAAACCAUAUCUCAGUUCAGAUCGAGGGCUGCAACUCGCCCUCGUGACGUCGGAAUCCCUAGUAAUCGGAUGUCAUCAGCAUCCGAUGAAUACGUCCCUGCUCCUUGCACCCACCGCCCGUCAAGCCACCCGAGCAGGGUUUAAGUGAGGCUUAACUUUAAUUAAGUCGAACUUAGGCUCAGUGAGGAGGGCUAAGUCGUCACAAGGUA
This 1388-nucleotide ribosomal RNA is filed under the name metagenome. RNAcentral describes it as "bacterial SSU rRNA". It matches the Rfam family "Archaeal small subunit ribosomal RNA". The record is from RNAcentral.